AUUAAUUCUCCUCUUCGAGUCGCUGGAGGUGAUUUGUCUGUGGACACUGGGCUUGGAAGUGUUCCCUGCACAAGGAGAUGGUGAUUUCUCUUAGAACUUUACUUCCGCUCCUUGUGACCACAGGCCCUGGAGCAUGGAGGCUUGGUGCAGUAAUUAGGACUGAGAACCGGACCCGGGAGCUGUUCUGGGGAGAAAGUGGGCGGUCCAUCCCCUAAGGUCCAACGGAUUGGAAAGGCAAACACAGGAGAAACUAGUAUUUCUGUGUGCUUAGAGUGAUGCUUUGUGUGUCAUCUUGUCUGGAAGUCCUGGAAUAUUAUUUUUGCUAGUAAUUUGCUUUAAAAACCCUCUUUUCCAGAGGUCAAGGCUUCUUUUCCAAUUAGAAAUAAUGUUUACUGGAUAUCUGCUGAAUACAAAUUAAUACAUGUUUCCUGUGGAAAAUAUGAAAAAUUAUAAAGAAGAAUAAAGCACCAUCCAUAAUUUUACUCUACAAAGCCAACAGACAUAAUUUUGAUUUUAUAAUUUCAGUAUUUUAUAUGCACAUUUGUGUUGAAUAAAAGUUAAAUCAUAUUGAGCUUAUAUCUCUUUAAUCCGUUUUUUUUUUCACUUACGAGCAUUUUCCUUUUUGAAUAAGAUUCCUCUAAAAUGUAACUUUUAAUGACUGUAUAUUUAUCAUAUUUGUUUAACAAUACCAUAUUGUGAGUCACUGGGAGAAAGUCAGGUAGUUGAGUCCUCAAAUUUCAUUCUCACCUUCUUUCAUAAUAAGAGAACCCUUAUUUCAAUGGGACUAUAUUAUGUCCAGUUAAAAGCCACAUCUCCCAGCCUCCUUGGACUAGGUGUGGCCAUUGACCAAGUUCUGGCCAAUGAUAUGUAAGGAGAAUAGUUAUCAGCAAUUUAAAGAAAAAAAAGGGGGCUGACUCAGUUGAAAGCAGCAUUCUUUUGCUUUUGCCUCCUAUCAACUUCCCACUGCAUGGGAUGAGGAGGCGAUGGCUGGAGUUCCAACAGGCAUCUUGGAUCACGAAAUAACCUCAGAAAGCUGUUUCCUGAAGAUGCUGAACUGGCAAGAAAGAAACCCUAGUCCUUGAUGAUAUUGUGAAGACACCAUAUUAGCAUGGAUGGCCUAUUUCUGAAUUUCUUUCAGGUGAGAAAGAAAUAUAUUUAUAUUUUAUUUAAAUGUUCUCUUAUACGCAGACAGACCUAAUUCUAACACAGAUACUUAGACUGAUUCCGAUUUUUGCUGUUAUAAGUUAUGCUGUAAUUAACAUACUUGUUCAAAGGUCUCUGUGCAUUUGUCUGAGAAAUUUGAAGAUGUAUUUCUAGAAGUUGAAUCAUAAAUUAAAAGUUUUAUGAACAUUUUAAAUUGA
This is a long non-coding RNA of Macaca mulatta (Rhesus monkey), 1361 nucleotides long. RefSeq lists it as uncharacterized. Lineage: Eukaryota; Metazoa; Chordata; Mammalia; Primates; Cercopithecidae. The record is from RefSeq and is a predicted model, not a curated record.